This 366-nucleotide long non-coding RNA is filed under the name Anas platyrhynchos (mallard). RNAcentral describes it as "lncRNA (ENSAPLG00020009251.1)". Lineage: Eukaryota; Metazoa; Chordata; Aves; Anseriformes; Anatidae. The record is from RNAcentral.
GAAUGUGAUAUUUUAAUGAUGUUUCCUCUCAUCCCACCAGGUAGACCAAGCUGUGAGCACUUGGAGGUUGUUCCAGUUUGGAAGCGAACGUGAUGAUGGAGUCAGGGAAGAGGAAUGCAGAUCUGGAAUGGGAUGCAAAAAUCAGUAAGUGUCUUUAUUUUCUUGUCCCCUGCUGGUAAGAGAUGGGUGCUAAAGGCUUGAACUAACAUUAUUUUCUCUAUUUAAAGGGAAGUUAACAGAAGAAUUUGGUAAGUCGCUUGUCUUCCUAACACACACCUAAGUUUGAACGCAUGAGUUUGAUUCUACAGCUGUAGCAUGAGCAAUGACCAACACGUGUAUUUGUAUUUUUUUUAUUUCAUUUAGAGG